UACGUAGGGGGCGAGCGUUGUCCGGAUUCAUUGGGCGUAAAGAGCUCGUAGGCGGCUCACUAAGUCGAUUGUGAAAACUCCAGGCUCAACCUGGAGCCUGCACUCGAUACUGGUGUGGCUAGAGUCCGGUAGGGGACCACGGAAUUCCUGGUGUAGCGGUGAAAUGCGCAGAUAUCAGGAGGAACACCGGUGGCGAAGGCGGUGGUCUGGGCCGGCACUGACGCUGAGGAGCGAAAGCGUGGGGAGCGAACAGG
Molecule: ribosomal RNA, 254 nt
Filed under: uncultured bacterium
Lineage: Bacteria
Description: partial 16S ribosomal RNA
Rfam family: Bacterial small subunit ribosomal RNA
Source: RNAcentral